UUGACCUCUGGACCACAUGGAGAGAGAAAAUUCUUAGCAUCAUUAAGGAAGCCAACUGACCAAUUAACUACUAUCUUAUGUUGGGAGGUAUGGUUGGAGAGGAAUAACAGGAUCUUCCUCAAUAAAAGCACAUCAGUUUACUUAGUCUUACAAAGAAUCUUGUCUAGAUUUCAUCUGUGGAGAAACCUAUGUUCUAAUGCUGACAUCGCAGCUCAUGACACUUUGUGGAGGAAUGUGUCGAGGUUGGCUCCCAGCUUAGUGGUUUUUGAUUGAAGGUGUUAAAUGUAGGAUUUGUAGGAGGUCAAGCUUGG
RNAcentral lists this long non-coding RNA (311 nucleotides) under Elaeis guineensis (African oil palm). RNAcentral's name for it is "long non-coding RNA (EGUI_LNC006910)". The record is from RNAcentral. Lineage: Eukaryota; Viridiplantae; Streptophyta; Magnoliopsida; Arecales; Arecaceae.